RNAcentral lists this non-coding RNA (32 nucleotides) under Homo sapiens (human). Lineage: Eukaryota; Metazoa; Chordata; Mammalia; Primates; Hominidae. The record is from RNAcentral.
UGUACCAUCACUGCCACAUCAGGGCCCCCAAA